This 483-nucleotide ribosomal RNA is filed under the name uncultured bacterium. RNAcentral's name for it is "partial 16S ribosomal RNA". It matches the Rfam family "Bacterial small subunit ribosomal RNA", at positions 30 to 507 of the family's 1533-position model. The record is from RNAcentral.
AUUGAACGCUGGCGGAAUGCUUUACACAUGCAAGUCGAACGGCGGCACGGGGGCAGCCCUGGUGGCGAGUGGCGAACGGGUGAGUAAUACAUCGGAACGUGCCCGGUCGUGGGGGAUAACGUAGCGAAAGUUACGCUAAUACCGCAUACGAUCUGAGGAUGAAAGCGGGGGACCUUCGGGCCUCGCGCGAUCGGAGCGGCCGAUGUCAGAUUAGGUAGUUGGUGGGUAAAGGCCUACCAAGCCGACGAUCUGUAGCUGGUCUGAGAGGACGACCAGCCACACUGGGACUGAGACACGGCCCAGACUCCUACGGGAGGCAGCAGUGGGGAAUUUUGGACAAUGGGCGCAAGCCUGAUCCAGCCAUUCCGCGUGCAGGACGAAGGCCUUCGGGUUGUAAACUGCUUUUGUACGGAACGAAAAGGCUCUGGCUAAUACCUGGGGCUCAUGACGGUACCGUAAGAAUAAGCACCGGCUAACUACGUG